Molecule: ribosomal RNA, 468 nt
Filed under: uncultured bacterium
Lineage: Bacteria
Description: partial 16S ribosomal RNA
Rfam family: Bacterial small subunit ribosomal RNA
Source: RNAcentral
GACGAACGCUGGCGGCGUGCUUAACACAUGCGAGUCGAACGGAAAGGCCCUGCUUUUGUGGGGUGCUCGAGUGGCGAACGGGUGAGUAACACGUAAGUAACCUGCCCUUGACUUUGGGAUAACUUCAGGAAACUGGGGCUAAUACCGGAUAGGAGCUCCUGCUGCAUGGUGGGGGUUGGAAAGUUUCGGCGGUUGGGGAUGGACUCGCGGCUUAUCAGCUUGUUGGUGGGGUAGUGGCUUACCAAGGCUUUGACGGGUAGCCGGCCUGAGAGGGUGACCGGCCACAUUGGGACUGAGAUACGGCCCAGACUCCUACGGGAGGCAGCAGUGGGGAAUAUUGCACAAUGGGCGGAAGCCUGAUGCAGCAACGCCGCGUGCGGGAUGACGGCCUUCGGGUUGUAAACCGCUUUCGCCUGUGACGAAGCGUGAGUGACGGUAAUGGGUAAAGAAGCACCAGCUAACUACGUG